This is a long non-coding RNA of Bubalus bubalis (water buffalo), 392 nucleotides long. RefSeq lists it as uncharacterized. The transcript has 3 exons. NCBI's taxonomy places the organism in Eukaryota, Metazoa, Chordata, Mammalia, Artiodactyla, Bovidae. The record is from RefSeq and is a predicted model, not a curated record.
GAAAGACAUAUACCCACCCAUACAUAGCAGCAUGGCAUAGUAUGCCAGUGAAGGACAAUGAACAACCAUGUUACUCCUGGAGAUCAGAACCAGAGGCCGCCAGACUAACAAACUUACUCCAUCUGCCAAGACCACUGUCUUGUGAUUGAGUGGGAGCUGGACUACUAGAUGAGAAGAGAUAUGGCCCAGCUACCCUCAUCACUCCCUGCAAAACCCAACCAACUGCAAGCUGUACUCGAGGCCAUAGCCUGCCAGUUGAUCCUGGGGCCACAGGGAUUCUCAAACUUCAGGAUGCAUCAGAGUCACAGGGAAACACAAAGUGGUAGAUCCAACCCCGAGUUUCUUUCUUUUUUUUUUUGCACCAAGAGGUCUUUUUAUUUAAAUUAACUGCA